Oryza barthii is the source of this 210-nucleotide non-coding RNA. The record is from Rfam. NCBI's taxonomy places the organism in Eukaryota, Viridiplantae, Streptophyta, Magnoliopsida, Poales, Poaceae.
AAUAAGUGCAGUUUUAGCACUGCUCAUGUUCAACGUUUAACCGUUCGUAUUAUUUAAAAAAAGAUUAUGAUUAGUAUUUUUAUUAUUACUAGAUGAUAAAACAUGAAUAGUAUUUUAUGUGUGACUAAUUUUUUUAAUAUUUUUUAUAAUUUUUUUAAAUAAGAUGGAUGGUCAAAGCGCUAAAUACGGAUAUUUAUGGCUGCACUUAUU